GUCCAACGUCCUUCUAGAUUUUCUCCUACACGUUACCCAUAUCGACAACAUACAUAGUAUCCCAACGAUAAAUACACCAACACAUAACCCCAUUACAACCCAUAGUUUGAGACCCAAAAAUGAUGUCUUCCUAGACAAAUCACUUUUCAAGUCCCCAGAAGACAUUUCCAGCACAGCAGAUUAAAAGAAAUCAAAAUUCCAGACUCA
Molecule: unclassified non-coding RNA, 207 nt
Filed under: Hevea brasiliensis (rubber tree)
Lineage: Eukaryota; Viridiplantae; Streptophyta; Magnoliopsida; Malpighiales; Euphorbiaceae
Source: RNAcentral